Molecule: long non-coding RNA, 614 nt
Organism: Tetranychus urticae (two-spotted spider mite)
Lineage: Eukaryota; Metazoa; Arthropoda; Arachnida; Trombidiformes; Tetranychidae
Source: RefSeq, a predicted model, not a curated record
AUUUAACUGGGUAAAAUUGAGCGCGUUAAUCAAAUAUUCUUACCAAAUGUCAAAUUUAUUUUCUUAUCUUUUCUGGUAGCAUUGCUUAUUAGUUUUGCGUAUUUUUCAUGAUUACAAAUAUUUUAAUGCAAUUGUUUUAACUCUAUUAUCUAAUAUUAAUUUAUCAUUUCUAUUACAAACCAGUGUCUCUAUUAUCUCUAUAGAUACCGGAGUAAAAACACGAAUCAAUACCAGCCCUAAGUGAUUACUAAUCAGUUAUUUACGACCGGUGGAUAUAUCUCUACACACUCUACACGAGUUAGUAUUUUAUGAGAUUACUUUUUGCCCGAGGAAUAGUAAUCAAUAAAUAUUGAAUAAUUCAAUGAUGGAAGAUGAAGAAAUUGAAUGAAUUGAUAUCCAACAAUGAGUGAAAUUAUCUCAAUAGAAAUACAACCCUGAGUGUGGCGUUUUGACACAUAACAAUGAAUUUGUUACCAAUUGAAAACGAUAUAAUUGACACUUAAAUGGUCGGAUUCACUCGAUCAGCUUUUGCCUAUUCUACUUUCAGAACUAAUCGAAAUUAACUAUUAUUGAAAUUAUAUUAUAUUUGUAAUACAAUCUUUCAGUUUAUUUUA